UGUUAUAAUUAAAUCAAUGAUUUUUAGAUGAGUUUAGUUAAUAAAAAAUAGUUAAAUGGUAUGCAAAAUAAUCACAGGAAGUGUGUAUCUGAUCUUAAAGUAAGUGUUCAAUAUAAGAGUUUGGGUCUAUUCGUCAUAAAAUCGAAAUAUUCCACUCAAACACCGGUAGCUGAAGUAAAACUGGAUGACAAACCCUCUUUUCAAGUUUAUCUACCGUCUAGGUUUCAAUUUACUCGAGAAGAUUUGGCAAAAGGAUUCGACGAAAGUCUGAAACUUGUUUCUAACGGACGAAAAGAUUAAACUUCGAGUUGCGAUAUAAAGUUUAUGUAAAUGAAUACUGUAUACUUUAAAAUGAUAAUAAUGAAGUAUGGAUUUAUAAAAAAAUAUUACAUGUUGUUGAAAAUUCAAUAAAACUGUAACUAUGUUUGAAUGCGUUAUUUUAAAACUAUACUUGAUAAAUAAUGAAAGAAAUAUUAAUAAAAAAUGGUAAAAAUUAAAGUAAAAAAACUAAAAUUUAAUACAGCUUGUUUCUAACACAAUUUAUGUACAAUAUUUGAAGUAUGAUAUUAAGUCUAUGUAAAUGAAUAUUAUACACUUUAAAAACGAUAAGUUGAUUUUUAGAAAAAAUAUUUGAAAAUCCAACAAAAUUACAAUUAUAUUUCACCCCGUAAAUCUAUACUUGUUAAAAAAAAAUAAAGUUACUGGUGUAUUAAUCGAACAAUGGGUGUAAAUAAAUCAAUACGAAAAAUAAUAUUUAGAGAGUAUUUUUGCUAACUCAGCGUCUGCAAAAGAAAUAUUAAAUAGCAAAAAUAAACAGUAGUCACGUUAGUAAGUGUAAGUAAAAUGUUAGUGUUUUAACAAAAGUCACGUAAAAUAAUUUUAAAUCCCAAUGGACGUCUGAGAAUGGUCAUAACACGAAAUUGUUUUACAAAAAUUAUCAACUCCAGGGUAGGGGAUACUGUUGGUAUGAAAUUGCUGAGGUUUGCAAAAGUAUAUUUAAAAAAACCGAAAAAUCAUUUUUCUCCAGACUUAAUUUUCGUUCAUCUGUUAAAUCGUUACCUUUAAGCCUUUUCAUUUUCAAUCGUAAACACAUCAAAUAUGAAUCACUUGUGCUGUGUUUGUGGUAAGACUUUCAGUUUUCUGAAAGAUCUGAAACGUCAUGAACAAUCUGUUCAUAAACACAAAUUAUACAGCUAUACAGUUUGCGGUAAAAAUGUUUCCAGAAAGGAUAAUGUGAGAAGACAUCAACAUAAGACACACUUCUUGAAAGGUGUGAAUAAUGUAUUGCAGUUACAAUCUAAGAAUUCUAAAAAAAUGUGUGAAAACUCGAUCGAGUAUUUGAUAUCGAUAUAAAGAAAGAAAAUGAAUUAAAUUCUAACGAUUUCUCUACUUCUCGGGAUAGUGACGAUGAACUCUGUGUAAAUAGUGAAUUGAUUGGAAUGGGGAUUGAAUAUUUAAAUAAACCAAAACAGUCAAACACAAAAAGUGAUUGUGUGAAGAUUUCAAGUUCAAAAUUGAUUGAAUCAGCUUUUUCGGGCAAUAUAAAUGUACACAGAAUUGAAAAUAUCGAUCCGUUUACUAUCACCGAGUUCAUAGAGCGAUAUGCAUUUGACAUUACAGAUGUCUGGGAAAAAUCAAUCAAAAAAAUAUAGCGGUGGAUCAUACGAUUUUCACUUAUUCGGGUUGAAAAUUGAACAAAAAUGGUAAUUUAUUGGUUAUUUACAUAAUAUUCGUCAAAGAGCAGUAUCAGAAAAAAUAUUGAAUGUAAAUAGUAGUUAUAAAUGUUUUUUUAUUAAUUGAGUAUUAACAUUUUUCUUUAAUAUCACAAAUUUGUUUUAUAUGUUUAUUAUUACUACAAUUAUCACUUUAUAAUAAAAGAAAAUGUAUAGUUAUUAUCAUUAGAAUUUUGAAUUAAAAAUAAAUCAUAAAAAUAUU
Daktulosphaira vitifoliae (grape phylloxera) is the source of this 1935-nucleotide long non-coding RNA. RefSeq lists it as uncharacterized. Lineage: Eukaryota; Metazoa; Arthropoda; Insecta; Hemiptera; Phylloxeridae. The record is from RefSeq and is a predicted model, not a curated record. The transcript has 6 exons.